RNAcentral lists this transfer RNA (95 nucleotides) under Gaiellales bacterium. Its description in RNAcentral is "tRNA-Ser". It matches the Rfam family "tRNA". Rfam says of the family: Transfer RNA (tRNA) molecules are approximately 80 nucleotides in length. Their secondary structure includes four short double-helical elements and three loops (D, anti-codon, and T loops). The record is from RNAcentral. Lineage: Bacteria; Bacillati; Actinomycetota; Thermoleophilia; Gaiellales.
GGAGAGGUGGCCGAGUCGGCUGAAGGCGAUCGCCUGCUAAGCGAUUAAGGGGGUAAAGACCUCCUUCGAGGGUUCGAAUCCCUCCCUCUCCGCCA